RNAcentral lists this ribosomal RNA (237 nucleotides) under Triticum aestivum (bread wheat). Its description in RNAcentral is "partial small subunit ribosomal RNA". The record is from RNAcentral. Lineage: Eukaryota; Viridiplantae; Streptophyta; Magnoliopsida; Poales; Poaceae.
CAAGAAUGAAGAGGCCUAACGCCACAGGAAUUCUGGUUAAGGAAACAGCUGAAGCUUCGUAUCCUUGGACUGGCUGCAGUAGAGAGAGCAAGGAAAAGACAGGCUUCAAGGAUAACCUGGCUCAAGGCGAGAGAUGCAAGAACGGCCUUCUUCCAAGCAAAGAUCAACUCCAGGAGGAGGAAAAACUUUAUACACUCCCUGCAAACAGAGGCAAGGACAACUAGUGCACACGAGGAG